This 464-nucleotide ribosomal RNA is filed under the name uncultured bacterium. RNAcentral's name for it is "partial 16S ribosomal RNA". It matches the Rfam family "Bacterial small subunit ribosomal RNA", at positions 339 to 795 of the family's 1533-position model. The record is from RNAcentral.
CUACGGGCCGCAGCAGUGGGGAAUAUUGCACAAUGGGCGCAAGCCUGAUGCAGCCAUGCCGCGUGUAUGAAGAAGGCCUUCGGGUUGUAAAGUACUUUCAGCGGGGAGGAAGGGAGUAAAGUUAAUACCUUUGCUCAUUGACGUUACCCGCAGAAGAAGCACCGGCUAACUCCGUGCCAGCAGCCGCGGUAAUACGGAGGGUGCAAGCGUUAAUCGGAAUUACUGGGCGUAAAGCGCACGCAGGCGGUUUGUUAAGUCAGAUGUGAAAUCCCCGGGCUCAACCUGGGAACUGCAUCUGAUACUGGCAAGCUUGAGUCUCGUAGAGGGGGGUAGAAUUCCAGGUGUAGCGGUGAAAUGCGUAGAGAUCUGGAGGAAUACCGGUGGCGAAGGCGGCCCCCUGGACGAAGACUGACGCUCAGGUGCGAAAGCGUGGGGGGCAAACAGGAUUAGAUACCCUGGUAGUC